Molecule: ribosomal RNA, 493 nt
Filed under: uncultured bacterium
Lineage: Bacteria
Description: partial 16S ribosomal RNA
Rfam family: Bacterial small subunit ribosomal RNA
Source: RNAcentral
AUUGAACGCUGGCGGAAUGCUUUACACAUGCAAGUCGAACGGUAACAGGUUAAGCUGACGGGUGGCGAACGGGUGAGUAAUACAUCGGAACGUGCCCAGUCGUGGGGGAUAACGUAGAGAAAUUUACGCUAAUACCGCAUCCGCUCUAAGGAUGAAAGCGGGGGACCGUAAGGCCUCGCGCGAUUGGAGCGGCCGGUGUCAGAUUAGGUAGUUGGGGGGGUAAAGGCCUACCAAGCCGCCGAUCUGUAGCUGGUCUGAGAGGACGACCAGCCACACUGGGACUGAGACACGGCCCAGACUCCUACGGGAGGCAGCAGUGGGGAAUUUUGGACAAUGGGCGCAAGCCUGAUCCAGCCAUUCCGCGUGCAGGAUGAAGGCCCUCGGGUUGUAAACUGCUUUUGUACAGAACGAAAAGGUCUGGGUUAAUACCCUGGGCUCAUGACGGUACUGUAAGAAUAAGCACCGGCUAACUACGUGCCAGCAGCCGCGGUAA